UCCAGGAUGUAACUAGAGAGCUACGGGU
This 28-nucleotide non-coding RNA is filed under the name Homo sapiens (human). The record is from RNAcentral. Lineage: Eukaryota; Metazoa; Chordata; Mammalia; Primates; Hominidae.